This is a long non-coding RNA of Rhododendron vialii, 1067 nucleotides long. RefSeq lists it as uncharacterized. The record is from RefSeq and is a predicted model, not a curated record. The transcript has 4 exons. NCBI's taxonomy places the organism in Eukaryota, Viridiplantae, Streptophyta, Magnoliopsida, Ericales, Ericaceae.
UACAACAAAAAGCAGAUUUAGGGGCAUUUUUUAAAAGGCAUUUUCCACUAAGUGCCUUGUAAAAAUCUUCACGGGGCAGUACUUGCUAAGUGCCGCAAUUUGUUGGACCUAAUGGGGCAGUUUCCCUUUCAACGUGUGCUGGUGAAUAGGAUAUGGUGAUCCAAGUAUAGUAGGGGCACUUGCAAGUGCCUCAAAAAACAGGGCAUAAUCGAUCAAUUGAGUUUAAAAGGCUGAAAAUGACAUCGCUGAUAUCUAAUCUAACAGGGCACUUCUCUCCUAGGUGCCUCAAUACUAUUCUUUGGAUUCAAAUUUUGGCAAGUCUCAUUUUGGCGCUAUAAUCUCUUGCGAAUUGGGGAACUGGCACUUUUCAUUUCUUUUUCAAACCGUAGAAAGUGUUGCACAAUUCGGUACACAAUCCACUCUUCCCUCUCUCUCCUCCGAGUUCUCUCGUCCCUCUCUCUCCUUAGAUUUCGAAUUGCAACUGCAGAUUGAAAGGGUUUCUGUGCAUCUUUUACUCUUCCCCUCGGUGUCCGUUCGUCGUGUGUGAGAGAUGCAACUAUGCAGUGUAUAUUUAUAUUUUUUGUGUUCCUUCAAUUGUACUUUGGAGAAGACUAAACCCCGUCGAGAGAAACCAACUUGUUACAGAGAAGAAGAUUGAAUAAAUGCGCUAACCAUAUUCAGCAACAAUUGGGUAUCUGAUCCUCUUCAACUCUCACCACCAAGAGCUGAUGUCAUGAUGGUUUGUUUCCAAGUGCAGAAGGCCAAAGAUUUGAUACUUUUCUACAGUUUUAGUUAGUAAUUAUUCAAAUUGAGUUUGAGAACUCUUAAGCCAUUAUUGUAAUGUUCAAUAUUCACUAAGUUGAAUAGUAUGUUUAAUUCUGUUUCAAAAUUACUUCUUCCUUCAUAUGAUUUUUUUAGGCAGUGGAAUAACUAAUUAAGUUUUUUGGCUUUGUAUGUGUGCCUUGUAAAUGAGAACCUCUCAAUUCAUAUAAAGAAGUUUUAUUUGUUUGUCAACAUGAUUCUGUAGUAGAUAAUUAUGUAAAUUGGAUUUGAUAGAACGUUUAAUA